Molecule: long non-coding RNA, 828 nt
Filed under: Capsicum annuum
Lineage: Eukaryota; Viridiplantae; Streptophyta; Magnoliopsida; Solanales; Solanaceae
Description: long non-coding RNA (CANN_LNC005563)
Source: RNAcentral
UACAAUUCAGACACCAUAAGCUGGUGAUAAAUCAAUUUCUACGCAAUUCAUAAACUAAUUUCUAUACAAUUCAUAAAUCAUGAUACACCAAUUUCUAUACAAAUCAUGAUCCAUAAAAUCAUUGUUACACCAAUUUUUAUAUAACUUAGACACCAUAAAGCUGGUGAUAGACCAAUUUCUAUACAGUUCAUACAUCAAUUUCUAUACAACUCAUACAUCACAAUACACCAAUUUCUAUACAAUUCAUGAAAAAGUAGAAGUAGAUUUAUAGACAUUAUUGUUUCAAUUAAUCCAAAGAUGCCAAAGAGCAAACAGAAGAAAGUCGACCCAGUCAUAGUGAGAGGGAGAGGCCGAAUUGGAAGGAAAAUUUUGUUUUUUUAACCCAAUCAUCCAAUGAUUGUUCAAAUAGUUCAGUUGGUUAAUGUUUAACCCAAUGUCAAGCCAAUUUUUUUUUUUUUUUUUUUUAGCAAUAAAGCAGAGAAAGAUGAUAUGGGGGAUGGAUUCUUCUUCCAACUUGUAAAUUGGGCAAAGAGGGUUGUCGGCAAUAUUUAGACGGGAAAGGUAUUGCAUGGUUAUUGUUUUGAGGGUAACGCGUGGGCUACCAUCAAUCUCACACUAGAUCUCCCUUUCAGAGUCUGCCCCAAAUAGUUGGAUGAAAUAUUCAUCAGUUGGUGUAAUCGAUGGAGUGUUCUGUUGAGAAAAUGCCAAUGGCUGCAACUUUUAUGCAGGACGUUUAGUGAUAUUGGGCAUUAAGGAAUAGGGAUUUGGAUAUGAAAUUUUCGAGAAAGAAGAAUAAUGUGAGAAAAGGAUUAGAAUUUUUAAUAUAAG